UACGUAGGGGGCGAGCGUUGUCCGAAGUUACUGGGCGUAAAGCGCGCGUAGGCGGGGGGUUAAGUGAGAGGUGAAAGGCUGGGGCUCAACCUCAUGCAGUGCCUCUCAUACUGGCCUUCUUGAGGGCGGUAGGGAGAAGUGGAAUGGCUGGUGUAGUGGUGAAAUGCGUAGAUAUCAGUCGGAACACCGGUGGCGAAGGCGGCUUCUUGGGCCGUUCCUGACGCUGAUGCGCGAAAGCUGGGGGAGCGAACGGG
RNAcentral lists this ribosomal RNA (254 nucleotides) under uncultured bacterium. Its description in RNAcentral is "partial 16S ribosomal RNA". It matches the Rfam family "Bacterial small subunit ribosomal RNA", at positions 524 to 776 of the family's 1533-position model. The record is from RNAcentral.